RNAcentral lists this ribosomal RNA (497 nucleotides) under uncultured bacterium. RNAcentral describes it as "partial 16S ribosomal RNA". It matches the Rfam family "Bacterial small subunit ribosomal RNA", at positions 28 to 507 of the family's 1533-position model. The record is from RNAcentral.
GAUGAACGCUGGCGGCGUGCCUAAUACAUGCAAGUCGAGCGAACAGAUGAGGAGCUUGCUCCUCUGACGUUAGCGGCGGACGGGUGAGUAACACGUGGAUAACCUACCUAUAAGACUGGGAUAACUUCGGGAAACCGGAGCUAAUACCGGAUAAUAUAUUGAACCGCAUGGUUCAAUAGUGAAAGACGGUUUUGCUGUCACUUGUAGAUGGAUCCGCGCCGCAUUAGCUAGUUGGUAAGGUAAAGGCUUACCAAGGCAACGAUGCGUAGCCGACCUGAGAGGGUGAUCGGCCACACUGGAACUGAGACACGGUCCAGACUCCUACGGGAGGCAGCAGUAGGGAAUCUUCCGCAAUGGGCGAAAGCCUGACGGAGCAACGCCGCGUGAGUGAUGAAGGUCUUCGGAUCGUGAAACUCUGUUAUUAGGGAAGAACAAAUGUGUAAGUAACUAUGCACGUCUUGACGGUACCUAAUCAGAAAGCCACGGCUAACUACGUG